Molecule: transfer RNA, 87 nt
Filed under: Salmonella sp. FORC89
Lineage: Bacteria; Pseudomonadati; Pseudomonadota; Gammaproteobacteria; Enterobacterales; Enterobacteriaceae
Description: tRNA-Leu
Source: RNAcentral
CCGCGCUGUGGACUUUCUCUACCCUCGGCUGGCCGGAAAACACCGACGCCCUGCGUCAGUUCCACCCGACCAGCGUGAUGGUUUCCG